RNAcentral lists this transfer RNA (56 nucleotides) under Liphistius erawan. RNAcentral describes it as "tRNA-Thr". The record is from RNAcentral. Lineage: Eukaryota; Metazoa; Arthropoda; Arachnida; Araneae; Liphistiidae.
GCUCUCAUAGUUUAAUAAAAACAUCGACUUUGUAAUUCGAAAUUUUAUACAGAGCU